Molecule: long non-coding RNA, 552 nt
Organism: Cryptomeria japonica (Japanese cedar)
Lineage: Eukaryota; Viridiplantae; Streptophyta; Pinopsida; Cupressales; Cupressaceae
Exons: 3
Source: RefSeq, a predicted model, not a curated record
UUUAUAUCUGGCGACGUACGCCCAUCAAACAAAUAUAUCUUUGCUCUUCACUCUGCAAAUGGAUUCAUUGGCUUUCUCCUGUACAAGUUCAGAUCAUCCAUAUUUUUGAAGAAGCAGAGGAAUAGGGGAGAUUGUGUGCUGUGUGAUGAAAAGUCUCGAGGAAUAUAUCAUGUUCUGUUAUUUUUCUCAUUGAUUUACUCUAUCAAGGUUCAUAAUUCUGUAGAAAAGGUGGGAGAUAUGGGUAGACUUGGAAAAAGUAUGAGAAGAAGAUUAGAGGUUCCUCCUCCAAGUCAAUCUUAGCAAGUUUGGCAGAGAUGAAGAUGGCAUGCAGGAGUAGAUAUUACAUGCCAAUCCAUUCAACAUUCAACAUUCAACAACUUACAAGAUUGUGAAUGGAAAAUCUCAUAACAAAUCCAUGCAACGCAUAAGACACAAUAUCUACUAACAAUGUUGCCUUCUUUUACACAUAAAAAAAAAAUACAUUUCAUGUGCAAUGAGAUUUAAUUAAAGGUUUAGUAUUUUUUUCCUACACUUCUCCAACAUUAUAGAGAU